AACGAACGCUGGCGGCAUGCCUAACACAUGCAAGUCGAACGAAGGCUUCGGCCUUAGUGGCGCACGGGUGCGUAACGCGUGGGAAUCUGCCUCUCGGGUCGGAAUAACAGUUAGAAAUGACUGAUAAUACCGGAUGAUGACUUCGGUUCAAAGAUUUAUCGCCGAGGGAUGAGCCCGCGUAAGAUUAGGUAGUUGGUGGGGUAAAGGCAUACCAAGCCGACGAUCUUUAGCUGGUCUGAGAGGAUGAUCAGCCACACUGGGCCUGAGACACGGGCAAGACUCCUACGGGAGGCAGCAGUGGGGAAUAUUGGACAAAGGGCGAAAGCCUGAUCCAGCAAUGCCGCGUGAGUGAUGAAGGCCUUAGGGUUGUAAAGCUCUUUUACCAGGGAUGAUAAUGACAGUACCUGGAGAAUGAGCUCCGGCUAACUCCGUGCCAGCAGCCGCGGUAA
RNAcentral lists this ribosomal RNA (449 nucleotides) under uncultured bacterium. RNAcentral's name for it is "partial 16S ribosomal RNA". It matches the Rfam family "Bacterial small subunit ribosomal RNA", at positions 29 to 523 of the family's 1533-position model. The record is from RNAcentral.